GGCACAAUGGGUCAGUGGCACAAUGGGUCAAUGUGAGGCACAAAUGGGGUUCAGAUGUGGGCACAAUGGGGUCAAUGUGGGGCACAAUGGGGUCAAUGUGGGGCACAAUGGGGUCAAUGUGGGGCACAAUGGGGUCAGAUGUGGGGCACAAUGGGGUCAAUGGGGGCACAAUGGGGUCAGAUGUGGGGCACAAUGGGGUCAGUGGGGCACAAUGGGGUCAAUGUGGGGCACAAUGGGGUCAAUGUGGGGCCCAUAACCAAUGACCCCAUGGCCCCAUUGCCCCCCAUUGACUCACCACGAUACGGAACGGUGAGUUGGGGACGUGCUGCCCCCCCAAACCCACAAUGGUCAAUGUGGGGCACAAUGGGUAAUGUGGGCACAAUGGGGUCAAUGGGGCACAAGGGGUCAAUAUGGGGCGACUAUGGGGUCAAUGUGGGGCACAAUGGGUCAAUGUGGGGCACAAUGGGGUCAGAUGUGGGGCACAAUGGGGUCAGAUGUGGACAGUGAGGGUCAAUGUGGGCACAAUGGGGACAAUGUGGGCACAAUGGGGUUCAAUGCGGACAAUAGUUGGUCAAUGUGCACAAUGGGGUCAGUGGGGCACAAUGGGGUCAGAUGUGGGGCACAAUGGGGUCAAUGUGGGGCACAAUGGGGUCAAUGUGGGGCACAAUGGGGGUCAGAUGUGGGGCACAAAUGGGGUCAAUGUGGGGCACCAAUUGGGUUUCAAUUGUGGGCCCAUAACCAUGACCCAUGGCCCCCCCCCCACACCCCCCCCCCACCACCCAAGUGCCAGCCCCAUUGACUCACCACGAUACGGAACGGUGAGUUGGGGGACGUGCUGCCCCCC
RNAcentral lists this long non-coding RNA (844 nucleotides) under Coturnix japonica (Japanese quail). Its description in RNAcentral is "lncRNA (ENSCJPG00005002668.1)". Lineage: Eukaryota; Metazoa; Chordata; Aves; Galliformes; Phasianidae. The record is from RNAcentral.